AGUAGCGAAUGAGGAGUGAGAAACUCCUCCACCGAAAGACCAAGGGUUCCAGGGUCAAGCUAAUCUGCCCUGGGUAAGUCGGGACCUAAGGCGAGGCCGACAGGCGUAGUCGAUGGACAACGGGUUGAUAUUCCCGUACCGGCGAAGAACCGCCCAUACCGAGCCCGGUGAUGCUAACCGUCCGAACUGUUGCACCGUGACCUUCGGGUCGCACCGCUUCAGGGAGCACGGGACCCGAACCGGUAGUAGGUAAGCGUAUUAACAGGAGUGACGCAGGAAGGUAGCCAAGCGUGGCGAUGGUAGUCCACGUCCAAGGUCGUAGGGCGAGUUGUAGGCAAAUCCGCAACUCACAUAGCCUGAGAGCUGAUGGUGACCGCAAUAGCGGGAAUUUGGUGAUCCUAUGCUGCCAAGAAAAACUUCGACGCGAGGUUCUAGCCGCCCGUACCCCAAACCGACUCAGGUGAUCAAGUAGAGAAUACUAAGGCGAUCGAGACAACCAUGGUUAAGGAACUCGGCAAAAUGCCCCCGUAACUUCGGGAGAAGGGGGGCCGGAUCCGUGAACCCACUUGCUGGGGGAAGCGGUGAUGGCCGCAGAGACCAGGGGAAAGCGACUGUUUACUAAAAACACAGGUCCGUGCGAAGUCGCAAGACGAUGUAUAUGGACUGACGCCUGCCCGGUGCUGGAAGGUUAAGAGGACCGGUUAGUUCCUUCGGGAGCGAAGCUGAGAAUUUAAGCCCCAGUAAACGGCGGUGGUAACUAUAACCAUCCUAAGGUAGCGAAAUUCCUUGUCGGGUAAGUUCCGAUCUGCACGAAUGGCGUAACGACU
This 827-nucleotide ribosomal RNA is filed under the name Pycnococcus provasolii. RNAcentral describes it as "partial Bacterial large subunit ribosomal RNA". It matches the Rfam family "Bacterial large subunit ribosomal RNA", at positions 1305 to 2009 of the family's 2925-position model. Lineage: Eukaryota; Viridiplantae; Chlorophyta; Pseudoscourfieldiophyceae; Pseudoscourfieldiales; Pycnococcaceae. The record is from RNAcentral.